AACGAACGCUGGCGGCAUGCUUAACACAUGCAAGUCGAACGAGAAAGUACCUUCGGGUGCGAGUAGAGUGGCGCACGGGUGAGUAACACGUAGGUGACCUGCCUCUUGGAGGGGAAUAACCAGGAGAAAUUCUGGCUAAUACCGCAUGAGCAUAGCAAUUUUGGAAGUAGCUAUGGAAAGAAUGCCUCUGCAUAUGCAUUCACCAAAAGAUGGGCCUGCGGGACAUUAGCUUGAUGGUGGGAUAACGGCCUACCAUGGCAGUGAUGUCUAGCUGGUCUGAGAGGAUGAUCAGCCACACUGGAACUGUGACACGGUCCAG
This 319-nucleotide ribosomal RNA is filed under the name uncultured Bacteriovorax sp. RNAcentral's name for it is "bacterial SSU rRNA". It matches the Rfam family "Bacterial small subunit ribosomal RNA", at positions 29 to 334 of the family's 1533-position model. The record is from RNAcentral. Lineage: Bacteria; Pseudomonadati; Bdellovibrionota; Bacteriovoracia; Bacteriovoracales; Bacteriovoracaceae.